CGCGGNGUGGAGCAGUUGGCAGCUCGUCGGGCUCAUAACCCGAAGGUCGUAGGUUCAAGUCCUGCCUCCGCAACCA
Molecule: transfer RNA, 76 nt
Filed under: Clostridioides difficile
Lineage: Bacteria; Bacillati; Bacillota; Clostridia; Peptostreptococcales; Peptostreptococcaceae
Description: tRNA-Met(cat)
Rfam family: tRNA
About the family: Transfer RNA (tRNA) molecules are approximately 80 nucleotides in length. Their secondary structure includes four short double-helical elements and three loops (D, anti-codon, and T loops). Further hydrogen bonds mediate the characteristic L-shaped molecular structure. tRNAs have two regions of fundamental functional importance: the anti-codon, which is responsible for specific mRNA codon recognition, and the 3' end, to which the tRNAs corresponding amino acid is attached (by aminoacyl-tRNA synthetases). tRNAs cope with the degeneracy of the genetic code in two manners: having more than one tRNA (with a specific anti-codon) for a particular amino acid; and 'wobble' base-pairing, i.e. permitting non-standard base-pairing at the 3rd anti-codon position.
Source: RNAcentral